AUUGAACGCUGGCGGCAGGCUUAACACAUGCAAGUCGAGCGGGGUGAUGGUGCUUGCACUAUCACUUAGCGGCGGACGGGUGAGUAAUGCUUAGGAAUCUGCCUAUUAGUGGGGGACAACAUCUCGAAAGGGAUGCUAAUACCGCAUACGUCCUACGGGAGAAAGCAGGGGAUCACUUGUGACCUUGCGCUACUAGAUGAGCCUAAGUCGGAUUAGCUAGUUGGUGGGGUAAAGGCCUACCAAGGCGACGAUCUGUAGCGGGUCUGAGAGGAUGAUCCGCCACACUGGGACUGAGACACGGCCCAGACUCCUACGGGAGGCAGCAGUGGGGAAUAUUGGACAAUGGGGGGAACCCUGAUCCAGCCAUGCCGCGUGUGUGAAGAAGGCCUUAUGGUUGUAAAGCACUUUAAGCGAGGAGGAGGCUCUUUUGGUUAAUACCCAAGAUGAGUGGACGUUACUCGCAGAAUAAGCACUGGCUAACUCUGUGCCAGCCGCCGCAGUAA
RNAcentral lists this ribosomal RNA (503 nucleotides) under uncultured bacterium. Its description in RNAcentral is "partial 16S ribosomal RNA". It matches the Rfam family "Bacterial small subunit ribosomal RNA", at positions 30 to 523 of the family's 1533-position model. The record is from RNAcentral.